This 310-nucleotide ribosomal RNA is filed under the name uncultured bacterium. RNAcentral describes it as "bacterial SSU rRNA". It matches the Rfam family "Bacterial small subunit ribosomal RNA", at positions 105 to 433 of the family's 1533-position model. The record is from RNAcentral.
GGUGAGUAACACGUAAGAAUCUACCUUUACGACGGGGAUAACUUCUGGAAACGGAUGCUAAUACCCGAUAUGCUGUGGAGUGAAAUGAAUUUCGCCUAAAGAUGAUCUUGCGUCUGAUUAGCUAGAUAGGGUGGUAAUGGCGCCCUAUGGCGACGAUCAGUAGCUGGUCUGACAGGAUGGACAGCCACAUUGGGACUGAGACACGGCCCAAACUCCUACGGGAGGCAGCAGUGGGGAAUUUUCCGCAAUGGGCGAAAGCCUGACGGAGCGACGCUGCGUGAAGGAUGACGGCCUGAGGGUUGUAAACUUC